This is a long non-coding RNA of Ruditapes philippinarum (Manila clam), 724 nucleotides long. RefSeq lists it as uncharacterized. The record is from RefSeq and is a predicted model, not a curated record. NCBI's taxonomy places the organism in Eukaryota, Metazoa, Mollusca, Bivalvia, Venerida, Veneridae. The transcript has 3 exons.
AUUUGGCGGAUAUACAUUUCGUAUGGUUACCCGACUGUCGUAAGCGUGAUAAUAACUAUUAAUUGUUAGAACGGGUACCAAGUAAACUAACAUGGUGGAGAUGUAGACACGCUGCUGCGGAAAAUUUUCUUUUCAAAUGAUUUUAACUUAUUCACGAGCAACACGUUUGAGAAAAUUAAAAUUCCUUGGGAGGAGAAUCAACCACCAGUGGACAGAAUCAGACGGCUCUCUAAAUUGGUAAAAAGGCACCGUGCUUUCUGUUUCUUCUGGAAAAGACGGAAAUCCUGAUGCAGUAUAUGAGGUGCUAUAUGAAGGCGAAGACGCGUCAUAUGAAGUAGAUUCUUUGAUCAAAGACUAUAAUGAAGGCACCUUAACUUUCAUAGAUUUGUAAUGGUAAUGGAGAUUCAGUGUCACUAAAAUAGAUGUUACUUUAAAAGUUUUCAUUCAUCAUAUCACAUAUUCAUCAUAGGAAGGAACUUUAUUUUGACAUACAAGUUACAUGUGCUGCAAACUGAUUCAGGUAAGGCUUUUGUUUUUAUUUUAAUUUUCUUUUUCUUUUUAGGCAAUGUAACAGCUUCUUUAUAGGUAAAGGAUUAAUGCCUCAACAGUUUCCUUUUCAAAUGUACCUCAGAAUACUUCAGUUGAAAGUUUUAAUUUUUGACCUAAAAUUUUCAACAAAACAAUAUGGCUGACAUUUGAUGCACCUUAAGAAUUAUCUAAUGUU